Molecule: ribosomal RNA, 254 nt
Filed under: uncultured bacterium
Lineage: Bacteria
Description: partial 16S ribosomal RNA
Rfam family: Bacterial small subunit ribosomal RNA
Source: RNAcentral
UACGGAGGGGGCUAGCGUUGUUCGGAAUUACUGGGCGUAAAGCGCACGUAGGCGGCUUUGUAAGUUAGAGGUGAAAGCCCGGGGCUCAACCCCGGAAUUGCCUUUAAGACUGCAUCGCUAGAAUUGUGGAGAGGUAAGUGGAAUUCCGAGUGUAGAGGUGAAAUUCGUAGAUAUUCGGAAGAACACCGGUGGCGAAGGCGGCUUCCUGGACCGACACUGACGCUGAGUGAGCGAAAGCCAGGGGAGCAAACGGG